RNA transcript from Mustela lutreola (European mink), 2962 nucleotides. It is a transcript of the gene named thymidine kinase 2, with no coding region annotated. The record is from RefSeq and is a predicted model, not a curated record. The transcript is spliced from 11 exons. NCBI's taxonomy places the organism in Eukaryota, Metazoa, Chordata, Mammalia, Carnivora, Mustelidae.
AGGCGGUGCGCUGCGCUGGCGCAGACUUGCGCAGGGAGGAAGCCGCGCCGUCGGGUCCCGCCGCCGGGAUAUGCUGCUGCGGCCGCUGCGGAGCUGGGCAGCCCGGGCGCUGCGGCGCGAGGGGCCUGGGAGCCUCGCCCCCGGCCAGGGGACGUGGGGGGCGCAGCACCGAGCCUGGCUUCGCGAUAAAGAUAGAGAAAACAAAAAAGAGAAAAAAUCAGUGAUCUGCGUUGAGGGCAACAUUGCAAGCGGGAAGACGACAUGCCUGGAGUUCUUCUCCAACACAGCGGACAUGGAGGUGUUACCGGAACCCGUGCCCAAGUGGAGAAAUGUCCGUGGUCAUAAUCCUCUGGGGCUGAUGUACCGCGAUGCCUGUCGAUGGGGCCUCACGCUGCAGACGUACGUGCAGCUCACCAUGCUGGACCACCAUACUCGUCCUCAGACAUCACCUGUACGGUUGAUGGAGCGGUCGAUUCACAGCGCAAGAUAUGUUUUUGUAGAAAACCUAUAUAGAAGCGGGAAGAUGCCCGAAGUGGACUACGUGGUUCUGUCCGAAUGGUUUGACUGGAUCGUGAGGAACAUCGACGUGUCUGUCGAUUUGAUAGUGUACCUGCGGACCACUCCUGAGACCUGUUACCAGAGGCUGCAGCUGAGAUGCAGGGAAGAGGAGGCGGUCAUUCCCCUGGAAUACCUGAACGCUAUUCACCACCUCUAUGAGGAGUGGCUCAUCAAAGGGGCCCUUUUCCCUGUGGCAGCCCCUGUUCUGUGGCUGGCAACCACGGAGCCUCGUUGCCCCCUUCCUCGGUGACCCAGGGCAUCUGAAGAAACACCGGUCGCUGUCCUGGUCUGUUACACAGUGGUGCCCUUAGGAGGCGCUGAGGUGAUUGAGGCUGACCACGACAUGCAGAAAAUGUUAAAACUCUUUGAACAAAACCGGGACCGAAUAUUAACUCCAGAGACUCAGAAACAUGGUUCAUAGGAUGGGAAAGAUCAUGCCAGAAAAAUGCCUGCUGCUGCGAGGUUAGCUAUUAGGAGCAAUUUGGAAAUACCCACUCUCGGGAGGGCUUGAUAUCUAGCCACGUUUGUUUUCCUGAUGGUCUUUUCCUCUUUGUCACCGUCUUCCUCCUUGGUCUCUGGCCCUUGCGGGUAAAUGACAAAUGGGACCAAUGGGUUUGUCAUGCCCUUUGGUGUUUGCAGCCUUGCAUUCCCACCUGCACCUGACCUGGUGGCUUCCCACUGCUGGGUCCCUGUGAUUAAGGAAAGAGCCACCAGAAGUUAUGCUGGGCUUAGGGUCUCUAACCCUUCCGACUACCCAGGAGGGCGAGGUAGUGGCCUCACAUCCCAGAGAGAAAGCUGAAGCUCAGAGAGGCUAAGGGACUUUCCCAGGGUCCCACAGCCGGUGACAGUGGUGUUGGCACAAGUGAGAUUUUGGUGACUCUAGAACAUUCUCUCCCUCAUCCUGAGAGCCUGUCUUCCUUUGCUAGAGAUCUCACGUGUGUAUGGGGAGAGCCAGCAGUGCGUGGAGCCAGUGUCAUUAUUUUCUCAUUAUCUGAGCAGUUCACAAGGACAGUCGAUGUUCUUAGACUUCCACAAAAUUGUGCCAUAUUUGGCUUGAGCUCAGCAUUCAGUGGUUUCCCAGCAGGAGGCUGCCGUGAUGUUCACCACCGCAGCAUCUGGCCUUCCAUGUCCUUAGGAGAAUCACGCAGCGGGUCCUGACUGGUGCUCGGUCUCCUUGGUGAUGAAGGCCUUGCCAGAGCUGCUGCCAGUUCUCAGUCAGGGAAAUGGCUUUGGUGCCUGGGUGGUUUGCCCAGGGCCAAGCUGGGGCGAGGGGCCAGCAGCCCUGGCUUCUGAGGCCUCCUUACUCUAUUGGCCUCGUGUGAAGAGCUUUGCCCUUGGAAUUACUGAGAGUCUGUGGCCUGGGAGAGAGACACAUGUGGCCUUAAGUAUUUUUAAAAUGUUUUUCUAUCCAAGAGACACUUUGGACCAUAGAGCAUGAAAUCAUCUUUAUUGGUUCAGAAAAUAUCUUAGUUUCACUCAGCUGCAACAAUGCAUCAAAGCCGCAGCUAUCUCUUGAGUCAAGUGGAAAGAGAAAGAAAGAACAUUCUUUUAAGAGGGCAGUCUGGACUGGAAGAUCAGGGCUGGCAAGCAGAGGCUUUUAGAGCAUGGGUGCUCCUGAUAUUUUGGAGGUGGGCCGAGAGAGCUUCAAGAAGACUGGUUGUAGACAUGGGGAAGGGUCAGUCGUGACUUUGGGGAAACAGGCCUCAGCCUCUCCUCACAGUGGUUGGCAUCAACGAAGGUUGGAAGCCUCGUUCUGGCCUCUGCGUGCAGUUCUCUGACUCAGUGUGGGUGACUGGAGCCCUGGUCCGGUCCCAGAGGGAGGCAAGCACUGUGACUCCUGGGCCGGUUCUUGGGCUCCGUGGGCAGGACGAGGGGCAGCAGCCCCGCAGGGACGUGUCUCCACCCAAGUGUCAGGGAUUGACCAGAAGUCUGGGGUCAGGAAGCAGGAACCUGUGCUGCCAGGUGUCGUGACGAGCCCCGGCCGUCUUUGGGAAUUUUUAAGUGAACAGUCCAGGAUUUGCCCCACAGCUGAAUUUGAGCAUCUAUUUGGGGGGAAAUGUGAUUUAAACAAAAGUAAAGUCUUGCCCUGUGGUAGCCAAUAAAUCCUUCACCUAAAACCUGCCGUGAGUCUUAGCAUGCUGCCCCGGCCAGGGAUUUGAGCUCUGAGCAGCAAUAGGAUAAUGUUUUCAUUUGUUUAAGACUCAUCUUUCCUGGGACGUCUGGGUGGCUCAGUUGGUUAAGCAGCUGCCUUCGGCUCAGGUCAUGAUCCCAGCGUCCUGGGAUCGAGUCCCACAUCGGGCUCCUUGCUCAGUGGGGAGACUGCUUCUUUCUCUGCCUCUGCCUGCCAUUCUGUCUGCCUAUGCUCGUUCUCUCCCCCACUCUCUCUCUGAUAAAUAAAUAAAAU